Long non-coding RNA from Pseudopipra pipra, 6652 nucleotides. RefSeq lists it as uncharacterized. Lineage: Eukaryota; Metazoa; Chordata; Aves; Passeriformes; Pipridae. The record is from RefSeq and is a predicted model, not a curated record. The transcript has 2 exons.
GAAAGUGCACUGGCUUUAUAAACACAUCAGUGGGUCCACUUUCAAAGCUUUUCAUGUCUUCUCUAAUGUGGCAACGAAAAUCUUGGGGUUUUUAGCCACGCUCCACCCCCCACCUCCCCCAACACCCUCUGUAAAAUUAGGGCAAUAAAACAACGUUGUCCCAGCGUUAGCAGAGGGGAACUAAAAUACACAACAGAACUGUAAAAAAAUACACAUGAAGUAAAAAAGUUUUUAAACACAAGCACUAGAACUCCAGGACAGUGGCGUGCCGUGCUGUCAGAGCAUGUUCAGCAUGCCAAUAAGGACUGCAGCACUGCAAUCCCCAGCACCACCAGCCCACGCACCGGCAUCCUUCUCUGCAAAAGACUCUUGCCGGUGGGAGGAGGUGCGCCCCAGGCCCCACUGAGUUUUGGCUAACAGGGUGAGGUGAUGAAGGUGGGAAAGCUGGUAUUGGUCUCCUCAUGGCAGACAGAGGCUGUAGCUGGGGAUGUUGUACCACAGGUGAACACAGCCAUCAGGGAAAUCCCAUAUAUGUUAUCGCAGCCUUUUAAGUAAAUAAGAGUGAGACCGUGCUGAAGUCCUGAAUCAUUAACUGGGUGCAGAGGUACACUCCUGCCAGUGCUGAGCCCCCCUGCCCCACCAGAGGCACAGCCAGAGGUGUCUGCUGACAAACCAGUACAGCUUUAAGCUUGAAAAAUGCAUAUAACUGCUGAUAACAGCACUGCAGACAGCCUGGAAAGUGGAAAGAAAUACCAAAAAAAGAUAAAAAUGGACUAAAACUGGGCUUUGCUGUCCAACAAGGCAUAUACUUUCCCCAUCUCGAUUUCAGGAGGAGUGUACCACAGAGAGCUGCCGAAAGAGAGUGUCAACGCACAAACCCGACAUGCUGAAACCUUGCAUGGAAAAAUCAUCCUUCUGAGUGCUUGAAAGUAAUGGAAAUCUUGCCACUUGGCAAUUUUAGGUUAGUUUUAGGCUAGGUUCAAAACACUGCGCAUAAUACCUAUAAAGUGCAAAAAUCAUGACAGAUUCAGGAAAUUAGAGGGUGGGGGGCUGCACCAUUCAGUAUAUCUGAAGAAUAUAUAACAGAGCAUUUUGGUAAAAAAGCACCAACAACAUUAAACUCCUCAGAAACUCAAGGAAAAAUGUAUUCAGUCUGGAUAGGAGAGAAUGCUAGAGGGUUAAAAAAAAUUAAAUUAUUUGUUAGGCCUAGGUCUUAAAAGUGAUGAAACACAAAAAACAUACUGAAAAGCUGCCUUCAGAAUUCCCACAAGAAACCCAAAACAAAACAAAACAAAACAAAAAAACAUCUCUAACCAAGUCCUAGCUUCCUCCUUCCAUAAAACUACCAAGGGAAAACACUUCUGCAUUUUUCCUUACUCGUACUUUCUAAUUCUGCCUAUAGUCAAAGGCACUGCACUCCCCGUAGGACAGAAGAUUUUACAGCACAUGAACUUCCAGACUGACCUGGUCUCUAUUUAUGAGUUCAGCAAUAUGCAACACCCAAAUCUUCCCAGAAUGCUGUUUAUCAUCCACUCAGAAACUGACAAAAAUAAAACAUUGAUCUAAAUAGAAAAAAUUAAUAGACUCUGAUAUGAACCAUCUGUUCCUAUUUCUGGACACAUUUCUUUAUGCAGCGAUUGUACCACUAAAUCCCUCCCACCGUCUUUAUUAGCUAUUAUUUCUGUCUUACAAAAAUCACAAAGAUGAAAAAACAUUUUUAUGAGUGUACAUGUAUUAUGUACGUGCGUAUGCAUCUGUCAACAUAUAUCUAGGUAGAAAAAGGGGGGGGGGAAGAAAUUAAAAGAAAAGAAAAAUAAUAAUAAUAUAAAAAGAAGAGUGUGAACCUCUGUGUUUAUCAAUUUGUUUACAGCUGAGUUCUUCUAACUGGCAAAGUUUCAGGUAUCACAAGCCCCCCCGGUCUUUUCUCAGACCUAAGACUCCAGGAAUCCUGCAAAUCUUCUGCAGAAGCAGCAAGCUGCACACUGGCAGUUCUCAACAGCUUUAGUAAUCAUCAGUAGCACAGAGUCCCCUAAAAAUUAGUGUUUCUUUGUGUCAGUUAUAAGGAUGUUGCAUUGAAUCCCCUGUUAGGUAUGCUCUUCAAAUUUCACAUCCCUGAAGUUUUCCUUUUCUAGCAUGCUUGAAAUAUUGAACUAAGAACUUGACAUUAUUGGAGGGAGAGCUUGGUGUUUCAACGGCCUUAUUACAAAAGAAUAAUAAAAAAAUGUGGAAAUUAAAAAGUUGGCAGAUUCUAGAAAGGGGCUGCAUAACUUCUUUCUCCUCAUGUACUCUCUAUUCCAAAUAGAGCCAAAAAGUUUUCUUCUAAAAGAAGACUUUUUAAAAAGAAGACUCCGUAUAUCAAUAACCAACAACUGUCACUGCAUUUGCUAAUAAUGUAUAAGAAGAUUAAUUUAAUUAGUCAAGCAGUUAAUACUGCUAUUAUUUGAACUAGUUUUCAGCACUGACACUCUCUUGAAAUUAGUUUUAUAUUCCUCAGGCUAUAGUUUCAGCCUGUUUACAGACCAGUUACAUAGCACUGGUUCACAUUAGUUAACCAUAACACAUUGUAUUAAACAUAUCAAAUUAGCUUUCCAAUCAAAGCUUUUAAAAAGAAAAUACAUACUAGUAAGUUUUAAAGCAAGUGGUUUUAUUCUCUUUUGCUAUAAUUUUGUAACAGCCAUAUGCAUAAAAAAAGUGAAAAAAUAAUUUGGCUUAAAAAAAGGUGUUUCUUGCCUGGAAGAGGAAAAAAAAAAUCCUCAAAGUCAGAAAUUUCUAGUAACAUUAGGAAUCAAGGUAUCACUAAUAGCUAUCACAUGAAAUUUAAAUCUUAGCAAUGUGUCUAAUGAUUUAGAAAAUUAAAACUGUAUGCAAAAUCAUUAGUAAGGAAUUCUAAUUGAACACUAAGUCUUUUUCUCAUCUCUCAAUGCUGUAAAAACUGAAUAUUUUACAGAGCUUUUACAAAUAAACACAGUGCAGACUAUUCCUAACAUACUUGUGAGCAACACAGAAGAUGAAUUCACAGCAGAGGUGAGACCUGAGUGCCUGAAAUCCCACAUAACAUUAAGAGCCAUUUUUCUUGCUUAGAAGAAAAAAAUAAAUUGUAGCACACAAUUAUCUUACAUUUCUGUAAAAUAUACACUUAGAAAUUAAGAACUUGAUUUGACUUUAUAAACACUCUAUAGUCAAGCACUAUACUUCAGGACCUGUAACUCAUUAGAAAAUUCUACCUUAGAAAAAUGAAGAGACUAAUUCUAAACAAAGUAAUUAUUCCUUGAAAACAGACAGACUGCACACAGUAAGACGUUAUCACACUAAUAGCUCUGACGAAAUCCACAGAGCAAUUAAGCUAAAUGAAAAGAAGUAUCAGAAUGUGGUCCAAAACACUUUUGACACCAACUAUUUACAUAAUAAAUGUAAAUACAGAAUGUUUACUACUACCUCUACCCUCCAAGAUGAAGGUUCACUUACCUAUCCAUGUAAAGUACUACUAUAUAUACACCUUAAUCAGGAAGUAUUUUUUAAAAUCCUUUUGUCACUUGAUUGUCUGUCAGUAGUUUGACUCAAACUAUUUGUCUGAGUGAUGAAUGCAAAUUUGCACUUUGGUAGUCAGGCAUAAAAAGAAUAACUCUAUAUAUUUUGAUCUCCAAGGUAAGAAAAACAGCCACUUAAACCAUUUGAAAGUAAGAGACUGCCUCAAAACAGGAGACUGAAAAGUUUUGUCUGAAAGCUUUGUGUGAAAAUUGUUUUAUUUUCAAAAAUUGUUUGUUUGCCUCACAUUUUAUAGCUUGAAAAAGAUUAUUUGACUUGCUUCUAAUUAUUAGUCUUUGCUUCACAAGCUUAACAGAGUGCACACAAACAACGCAUUUAAGCAUCAAUAGUGAUAGACAGCUAAAUAUACUUAUCCAUAUCCUAUGGAUUUAUAAUAAUAACGCUCUGCAUCCUGACAUGUGCUCUCCUCGUUAGCAAAGCCUGAAAUUCUCAGAAGAAAUGAGGCUGAUUUUAUUUAGAAGAUGUAGCAUUCAAAAAUGACCAGCUCAUGAACUGAAUACAUGCCAACAACCUUGCUGCAGGUCUUCAGCAAGUACCUGGCCAGGGAGCAGGGAAAUUGUAUCAACCUCCUCUGAGCAAAGUCAGUUGUGAGGAGUCAGGAGGUGACAUCGUCAUUCUGAGCACUUGUCCUGCAUUUCUCCUUGAAAAACAGGAGAGGUGAUGGACACUUGGUCUAGAAGGGCCUACUUAAUGCAAUACUUUUAAAACUAGUGUAACUCAUCCCUAGGAUAAAAGAAGUCUUGAAACUUUCCCAAAAAUUACAUCAAUGAGAGGUUUUCUAGGCAGUAAAACAUUCUUUUACCUAAUUUCUUUUUAAGACAUUGAUCUUUAGUCUUCCUCAGUUCAUACACUUUUCUUUUUCCUACCAAUGUCCUAUUUGAAUAAAUACACCUAUAUGCAAGGUUCAUGGCUCUUACAGGAGAAAUAAGAUGACAACAUUUUCUUGCUGUCUCACCAACUGUUACUCUUAGGAAAAAGAAAAAACUAAAAACUCUAUUACAUACUGUACAUAUAAACGAUGCUUCUAUAAUCCAGCUGAAGUCAGCAUGUUAAUUCAGGUCUCUAACUGGGUGAAAUCCUGAAAGGUAUUGAGCACUAUCAAUGCAUAUGGCAGUCUGAGAAAGUUGAAGAGGCUUCAUCACAUCCCAGGAUGAGGAAAUGUUCUCAGAUCCCUCCUGCAACACGAUGGUAAAGUUUGCUUUCCAUCUAACAAAUAAUAACAGCUAAUAACUAACCUAUUCUUCCAGAAUUUCACAGACUUCUGCCUAAACAUCUCUUCCUUCUCUCCAGAGCAUUUAACAUAAAUCUUAACCAUUCCUCCUUGAGGCUCCUCCCCUGCAAGAAAGUUGGUAUGCCUUAGCACAGUGAAAUCAUUGCUCUAAAAGCCAGCCUGCUCAUUAAAUUAUUCUGCUAGCUGUGUGUUCUCUCAUUAAAAAUGUAUAAAGAUCAGAUAAUUGCAGCACAUAUUAUUAACCUUGUUUUCCUUCCUUUCAUGUACAGGUUCUGUUUUGCUGCUAAGACAAAGACCUGGAAAGAACAGGGGAAACACUCAGCUAAACUACAAUAUGAAAAACUCUUCCAGCUUUCCUUCAAGACCGCAAGGAAUCACAGUGCAGUCAAAAAUGCCCAUACUUUUACAACAGGUGCAAACCUCAGAAAAUGUUCUGCAGUGAGUGUCCGUCUCCUUCAGCCAUCCGUCCGCAUGCGGCUGGAAAGGCACCAGCCCCACAGUGCGACUGAGCAUGUAAUGGGCUCAAGUUACAGGAGAUUAGCAGGAUUUCCCCUGUAACUGCUGCUCCCAUCUGCCAGAGACCAGACAUUGGAGCUGACAGCAGGAAGACAAUCUCGCCUGUUGCUCUCAUGACCCUUCGGCUGGUGCCCCAGGGACAUGCAUGAGACCAGCACACGGCAGAGGGGGUGUCAGAAAAGGCCGGUGGGCCAAAGCAUGGCAUGAAGCUGGGCAGAAGAGGGAGAGACAGCAAUGAGAGGGAAAGGGAGGAGGAGACGCAAGAGACAAGAGUCUGGAAAUCCUGGAUCUGGUCAAGCAGAAGGUUACAACACAGAGGAAGAUGAUGCCCAAACCAGAGAAGGGAGAGUAAGCAGCACAGGCACCACCAGCCACCAGGAGCCAUCCAUCCUCUCAACAGACCACAUGCACAUAUCCCAACAUGUGGCAAGAUCUUCCGUGGUCUGUUAGUUUGCCUCUAAAGAGGGAGGAAACUUGCAAGUUACCUCAACCCCUAACCCCCCAAACCCAAGACAAGUCACUAACACAACCCCUCAAAAGGUGAGGGUUCAGCACUGCCUCCACAAUCCUAUUUCAAGUGCCACUGCUUCACAGUGCAUACACUGGUCUUCAACCACUGUAGAGCUUUAACUGCAGUCAAACGGGGUUGAGGUGCUCCCAGAUACCAUCCCUAGGACUCCUGAAUCAAAACCACAAAACUAGCAGCCACACAGAUCCUUGUAAUUAUGGGUUACUAUGUUUUAGAUCCUCUUAUGCCCAAGGAUCAGAAGCCCCUCAACUCAAUAGGGAAUGCCAAAAAAAUAUCACAUCCCAUUUGUGGACCUUUUAGCUAGGACUCAUCAAAAAGCUCAAAAGAAAAUGUAUGCUCUUUCUCAAAAAUGGCACUUGAGGAGUGCCAUAACAAGGCAUGAAUUCACGGACUAAAGAAAAAGGUAUUUUUAAAAAUAAUUGCUCUGUACAUUGAGCAGUUGUUCCAAAGUGACUGAUUCCAAAUGGAGAUAUGCCCAUGCACCCAUUCAUUUUCCACAUCAGUUAAAAAGAAAAAGGCCAAAAUUUCAAUUUUCAAGCCGAUUUAUACAACCAUAUUAUAUAUUUCAUUGCAAAACAACAUCAUCUUAGAGAAGCUGAGAAAUUCAGAUGUCAAACUCAACAAAGAAUAACAAACAAAGGUAAAUUCCCAACUCAGAAAAAUGCCAUCUGCUCUGCUUCACGUGCUCCUGUAAUUAAUGAAUCAAGGGAAAAAUGCUGCUAAAGGUGACUAUUACGCACAAUUUUCUGAAUGAUGUUGAUAUAACUUUUGGAGAAAAGGACAAUUUUGGAAGUAACAAAGAGGAGGAGAACUGAAAAAUGCAGAACCCA